GCGGAAAAAUAUAGCCUAGUGGACAUGGCAUCUGCCCGGUAAGCGGAACACUGUGGGUUCGAUUCCCAUCCCUAAACA
RNAcentral lists this transfer RNA (78 nucleotides) under Cordylochernes scorpioides. Its description in RNAcentral is "tRNA-Thr". The stretch from base 12 to 69 matches the Rfam family "tRNA", at positions 8 to 63 of the family's 71-position model. From Rfam's summary of the family: Transfer RNA (tRNA) molecules are approximately 80 nucleotides in length. The record is from RNAcentral. Lineage: Eukaryota; Metazoa; Arthropoda; Arachnida; Pseudoscorpiones; Chernetidae.